This 1145-nucleotide long non-coding RNA is filed under the name Malus domestica (apple). RNAcentral describes it as "long non-coding RNA (MDOM_LNC006565)". Lineage: Eukaryota; Viridiplantae; Streptophyta; Magnoliopsida; Rosales; Rosaceae. The record is from RNAcentral.
AGUUACUGUUGAUUAUACAAUGUGAUUCCGUUUUUACCCCUUUUUUGUUUCUUUGGUCUUUUCGCUCUUCAGUCUUUUGCUUGGUUUUUGUCUAUCUGAGAAGGGAAUAAUCUAGAUGUACACGUGUGGAUCAUCUGGGAAGGGAAAGAGGUAGAAUAUACACGUGUUCAUUUAUCUUCCGUUAAAGAUUUGAUUGUUUAUUUCAUCUGGGAAGGGAAAGAGGUAGAAUAUACACGUGUUCAUUUAUCUUCCAUUAAAGAUUUGAUUGUUUAUUUAAUCUAGGAAGGGUAUAAUCUAGAUGUUCAUUUAUCCGAGAAGGGAAUGAUAACAACCACCACUAUUACAUCUCACAAUACAUAAAGAUUUGAUUGUUUAUUUAAAGUAUUUGUUGGCUUUUAAAAAUUUGUCCCGUUGUGAGAUUUUUCUUCCGUUAAAUCAGGCUUUUGUUGGGUGUGUGAGAAUGUGAAAAGUUUCUCUUUGUGUGAUUUAAAUGUUUUUUCUUGGUAGGCUUAUAUCAAACAAUAUUAACAAAUAGAUAUUUGUCGUAUUAGUAGUGUCAGUACCCACAUGACUUUGGACAUUAUUAAAUGGGACGGUGGGUAUUGGUCUCCUUGCCUCUUUUUUGUGUGUAUUUUAUAUUGGCAAAUAAGAACAAUGGGGUUGUAUGAAGAAAAGAUAGAUGGUCAACAGUAUACCCGGUUUUAGUAUAGAAAUAAUAAAUAAAUAUAAAUAUGCACUUUUGUUAUAUGUUAUGAUUUGUUGUAUAGAGAAUUGAGAAAAAAGUUAAAGACAAUUCCGUGUUUUUGAGUUACAGCAAUUAGUAAAUAUAUAAUGACAUUGAUUAGUUCACUUAAGAGUUUAAUCCUUCGUUGGUUUAUUUGUAUUGUGUGCCUGAGAAUGAAAGCAAUGGAUAAGGAAUUGUUCCUUUUAUUAGCAAUUAUAUGAAGUAGGCAUAUUAUGCAAUACAAGUUCUACAUUCAUUUAGUAAAUAUUGAGUUUAUUUUUAUCGAAUAGUGACAUUUGAUUCAGGUUUAAGGUUCUUAAAUGUUAGUAUUUUGAAAAUUGAUUUCAAUAGUCUUUUAUGAAUUUUUUUUUUUGCUUACAUAAUUAUGUGCUGCUUCAGGGACACCUACUGCAUUGGGCAC